This 143-nucleotide small nuclear RNA is filed under the name Otolemur garnettii (small-eared galago). RNAcentral describes it as "U2 spliceosomal RNA". It matches the Rfam family "U2 spliceosomal RNA". Rfam says of the family: U2 is a small nuclear RNA (snRNA) component of the spliceosome (involved in pre-mRNA splicing). Complementary binding between U2 snRNA (in an area lying towards the 5' end but 3' to hairpin I) and the branchpoint sequence (BPS) of the intron results the bulging out of an unpaired adenosine, on the BPS, which initiates a nucleophilic attack at the intronic 5' splice site, thus starting the first of two transesterification reactions that mediate splicing. Lineage: Eukaryota; Metazoa; Chordata; Mammalia; Primates; Galagidae. The record is from Rfam by way of RNAcentral.
AUCGCUUCUCGGCCUUUUGGCUAAGAUCAAGUGUAGUGUGAAAACCCAAGUAGUAGGUCAUUUCAAUUGUUCUUAAUAUUAUCAAAAUGUUCUCCAAAGGAGUUACACAGAUUUGUACUCUCACUAGUUGCUGCUCUACAGCC